GGGGAGUGAAGUGCAUUGAAGCAGUAACCACGGUCUUCCUCCUUCUGGUUGUAGUUAUUCUUGCCGGUGUACAAGCUGUAACCACUUCCGUGUUCCUUGUCCCGUGGUUCCGUGACGCGUGUCACCCCUCCUCCUGGGGCUAUCUCCUCCCACUGGAGAUCAUCUUUUAUUCAUGAGUUCUUUGGCCAUGAUCUAAUCGGCUUAAUAAGCU
Non-coding RNA from Pelobates cultripes (western spadefoot toad), 211 nucleotides. The record is from the annotation of a GenBank genome assembly. Lineage: Eukaryota; Metazoa; Chordata; Amphibia; Anura; Pelobatidae.